AACGUAGGAGACGAACGUUAUCCGGAAUUACUGGGCGUAAAGGGCUCGUAGGCGGCCAACUAAGUCAGACGUGAAAUCCCCCGGCUCAACCGGGGAAUGGCGCCUGAUACUGGCGGACUCGAGAUCGGUAGGGGUGAGUGGAACUCCAGGUGGAGCGGUGAAAUGCGUAGAUAUCUGGAGGAACACCGGUGGCGAAAGCGACUCACUGGACCGACACUGACGCUGAGGUGCGAAAGCUAGGGUAGCAAACGGG
RNAcentral lists this ribosomal RNA (253 nucleotides) under uncultured bacterium. RNAcentral describes it as "partial 16S ribosomal RNA". It matches the Rfam family "Bacterial small subunit ribosomal RNA", at positions 524 to 776 of the family's 1533-position model. The record is from RNAcentral.